GACGAACGCUGGCGGCGUGCUUAACACAUGCAAGUCGAACGGAAAGGCCCUGCUUUUGUGGGGUGCUCGAGUGGCGAACGGGUGAGUAACACGUGAGUAACCUGCCCUUGACUUUGGGAUAACUUCAGGAAACUGGGGCUAAUACCGGAUAGGAGCUCCUGCUGCAUGGUGGGGGUUGGAAAGUUUCGGCGGUUGGGGAUGGACUCGCGGCUUAUCAGCUUGUUGGUGGGGUAGUGGAUUACCAAGGCUUUGACGGGUAGCCGGCCUGAGAGGGUGACCGGCCACAAUGGGACUGAGGUAGGGCCCAGAAGGCUAUGGGAGGCAGCAGUGGGGAGUAUUGCAGAAUGGGCGGAAGCCUGAUGUAGCAAUGCCGCGUGCGGGAUGACGGCUUUCGGGUUGUAAACCGCUUUCGCCUGUGACGAAGCGUGAGUGACGGUAAUGGGUAAAGAAGCACCGGCUAACUACGUG
RNAcentral lists this ribosomal RNA (468 nucleotides) under uncultured bacterium. Its description in RNAcentral is "partial 16S ribosomal RNA". It matches the Rfam family "Bacterial small subunit ribosomal RNA", at positions 28 to 507 of the family's 1533-position model. The record is from RNAcentral.